Molecule: non-coding RNA, 45 nt
Filed under: Schistosoma margrebowiei
Lineage: Eukaryota; Metazoa; Platyhelminthes; Trematoda; Strigeidida; Schistosomatidae
Source: RNAcentral
AUCCAGCUGACAAAUCUCAAAUAGGACGAAACGUGCGUCCUAGAU